AUGAACGCUGGCGGCGUGCCUCAUACAUGCAAGUCGAGCGAACAGACGAGGAGCUUGCUCCUCUGACGUUAGCGGCGGACGGGUGAGUAACACGUGGAUAACCUACCUAUAAGACUGGGAUAACUUCGGGAAACCGGAGCUAAUACCGGAUAAUAUAUUGAACCGCAUGGUUCAAUAGUGAAAGACGGUUUUGCUGUCACUUAUAGAUGGAUCCGCGCCGCAUUAGCUAGUUGGUAAGGUAACGGCUUACCAAGGCAACGAUGCGUAGCCGACCUGAGAGGGUGAUCGGCCACACUGGAACUGAGACACGGUCCAGACUCCUACGGGAGGCAGCAGUAGGGAAUCUUCCGCAAUGGGCGAAAGCUUGACGGAGCAACGCCGCGUGAGUGAUGAAGGUCUUCGGAUCGUAAAACUCUGUUAUUAGGGAAGAACAAAUGUGUAAGUAACUAUGCACGUCUUGACGGUACCUAAUCAGAAAGCCACGGCUAACUACGU
This 495-nucleotide ribosomal RNA is filed under the name uncultured bacterium. Its description in RNAcentral is "partial 16S ribosomal RNA". It matches the Rfam family "Bacterial small subunit ribosomal RNA", at positions 29 to 506 of the family's 1533-position model. The record is from RNAcentral.